This 2912-nucleotide long non-coding RNA is filed under the name Mytilus galloprovincialis (Mediterranean mussel). The record is from RNAcentral. Lineage: Eukaryota; Metazoa; Mollusca; Bivalvia; Mytilida; Mytilidae.
AGGCUGACAAUCUUUUAACUGCUGGUAUGAUUUUUGGAUCCCUCGUCAUAAUUGGUGGACUAUUAUAUAAUGCAACUGGAUCUGAAAGAAAGUAGCAAGUAUGAAAAUAUUUAUGACACCUGAAAUGGUACGUCAACAUCGUUGUUUAUAGCAUUUUUUCGUAUAACAAUUCAAUCAUCUGUUUACUUUUAUGAAAUGAUACCGUUUAGAGUAUAUUUACAAUAGGUCUAAAUACAUUGUACAUAUGUUCACACAUAUUCAAACUUUUCUUCGAUUUCAUUGAAAAAGUAUUAUUUGUACUUAAUACAAUGUAAACGCCAUGCAUGACUUAAAUUAACUUAAUGAUAUUGAUGAAAUGUUAUUAUGUAUCUUUGGUUUGAUUUUUUUUUUGGUUUCUCUCGUAACAUGUGUUAGGAAAGUAGACGUAAUAUUAUUUCUUUUAAUUUCCUCUUUAUGUUUGUUUAAUCCAAUUGUGUAACCUUGCUGAAGUUAAAAAAAGCAACAAAAUAAUAAAAUCUGUGUUAUGCAAAGUGUGCUUUGUGUAAGGACACAUACAACUGGUCGAAAAACUAUCUGAAUAUUCGUAAACCGACAUUCAAUUUGAAAUAACAAUUUCCAUGUUACCUGUUAUAAUUAUUAUUACCAGGGCAUAUGCAAAGAAUUUAAAAUUGUUUUAGAAAUUUAUCAAGUUUUGUCCAUACUCAGCGGUUUUUUUGUUUAAAGGUAUUUGUACUUACUCCUAUUAACAUAAGUUAGUAUGUUGAAAACAAUAUAUAAAAAGGUUGAUCUAUAUUCAAGUAAGACAUAAGAAGUUUAAUACAGGGGUUAAUGCUCUAGUAACAUUAACGGUACUAGUUUGUCUGCACCAGAUGCGCAUUUCGACUAUAAAUUUUUGUAACGUGAUUUUCGAGGUAAAACUUUUGAUAUAGGUAUACUGUUUCAAUCUUUCAUCCAAUGAACAAAUAAGAAGAACUCAUUUAAAAGAGAAUAUUAAUUUAUCAUUACAUCUCGUUGUGCUUUUAGUUUUUAAUUACAGAAGACACAUUCGUGGAGACAUUAACAAAGUCAUUCCGUGCAUGCAGAAUUAUAAUGAGUCUAGUAUUAACUGUAUAUAAGUCACGUUAAUCGGGAAUGUUUUAUUUUAAAAAUUGUUUAUGAAGUGACGUAUAUUCAUACAUCAUUAGCUUGAGUUGUAGUGGUCAUUUUCCAGAAUGUAUGCUGGUAAAAAGAAAAUAACAACAGUUACUAAACUAUGACACAUUAUAUGCAUACUAAACACUUAAAAGUCAGUAUUUUGUCUUAAACGUAACCGAUAUUGAAACUGUUUCUUUCAAUGAAUCCAUGUAGUACCAUUUUACUGUUUCAUUAUAUGGAACAUGUAGAAUACAAGUAUUUUUUUUUUCAAUUCCAGGUGAUAGAAAUAUAUUAUGACUGUUCAACCCAUAUAAGAACAAAGUGUAGAUUACUGUACUUUAAAUGAACAAUAGUGGAAUAAAAAAUGUUAUUGAUACCAAUAUUGUCUCUCAUCUAAGUAUUAGAAUCGGCUAGACAAAUAUUUUUACAAUGCGAAUAUUGUCACUACCAUACUCAAUCUUGUUAACUGUUUCAAUCAACAUGACCUGCAGAAGAACACAUGCACAGUUUUUACGGCAAAGUAAUAUUUAAUUUUGACAUGCCUUAUUAGUCAUAAUUGUUUUUUCUUCCACAGUAUCUAUUACAAAAACCCUUUUAUCUAUCCAUUGAACCAAGGCUUUCGUUAAAAGGGCAUAUCAUGUAAGGACAUGAAGAGAUAAACUUUAUUUUACUAAGUAUGCAUUAACUUUUGUAAUACAUGUAUUUUUUGAUAAAAGUUUUAUGCAUUUUCUUUCAUCUUUUUCUUGAGAAUAUAUUCACACAGGUUGAGGUGAUUCGGUCUUAAAAGGACGACAGUUCGUGUGACAAAGGUCAAAAUACUAGCUACUUCACAAUGUUUUGAUGACUAUUGGAAGAACAACUCAUACAAUAACAUAUGAGUAAUUUUUUGAAGAAUUACGAUAAUAACGAAAAUUCAUAUCAAGCAUACAUGAUAGAAACUUGACUGUUGGUUUUCUUAUGUCUUACACUCUUUGCUACUUGUAAGUUUUAGGUGGAAGAGAGCUCUUUGAAAAUUUCUAAUUAUUUUGCACGAACACAAAAAAAUUAUCGGUAUUAACUUUUCAUUCAUAUACGGUGGGGGUAUAAAUCAAAACCUACAGAAUGAUUGUUUGUUAUUUUUUUGUAAGAAAAAGUAUAUGUUACAAUCGAGAUACAAUUUGCUUAGCGUGAACAGAUUUUUUAAGGAUUAUAUUUUGGAUAAUCUCUGUUAUGGGAAUAGAAAAAACUAACGGUAUGAGCCAAGACUCCGUGGUGAAAACCGUAAUUUUAAUCUAUCUGCCUAUAAUGUUUUUUUCUUUAACAAAUUGUGACUUAGAUGCAGAAUUGUCUUUUUGUAAUUUUUGGUCUUCAAUACUCUUCAACUUUAUACUUAUUUGGCUUUAUAACUAUAUUGAUCUGAGCGUCACGGGUGACUCUUAUGUAGACGAAACGAGCGUCAGGCGUAUCAAAUGCGUAUCAGAAUUAGUUGAAUAAAUACCGUUAAUGUUAUCAAAACGAUCACAUUCGAACAUUUUUUUUCAUGGCAGACAGUACAUGUGAAAAAGAAUAAACUUUACGGAUUUGCUGAAACAAAUUCUUUCUUGAAUCAUUAGGCAAUGACUAAACAAGUCCACAUGAAAGGUGUUGAGUUUAAAUAUAACAGCUUGUGUUCAGCUAAAUAGAUCUAUCUCUUGUAGAUAAUAAUAUGCCAUGGGUCAACGUUUUGUAUUGAUGAAUUUUAUAUUGCGUUCAACAUUAGACAAAAACACUACCAGACAUUUGACACUCAUAUCACAUAU